GGCAUCGAAACUACAAUUUGUGGUGGAGCAUAUGCGAGCUUACCUCAUCACCCCUCUAGGGCUCUUCAUCUCCCUCCCAGGCUAAUCAGAAGUUGGAAGCAGUGACUAUAUUGAACUAAUCUAAACUGACUUUUUUUGUAAAUUGAUUAGAUAAUAUGUGGAAUUAAGGAUGUUUUCUUGAA
Long non-coding RNA from Ornithorhynchus anatinus (platypus), 182 nucleotides. RefSeq lists it as uncharacterized. The transcript has 2 exons. Lineage: Eukaryota; Metazoa; Chordata; Mammalia; Monotremata; Ornithorhynchidae. The record is from RefSeq and is a predicted model, not a curated record.